This is a non-coding RNA of Triticum urartu, 126 nucleotides long. Lineage: Eukaryota; Viridiplantae; Streptophyta; Magnoliopsida; Poales; Poaceae. The record is from Rfam.
AAGGUACUCCCUCCGUCCCAAAUUACUUGUCGCAGAAAUAAAAUAAAAAUGGAUGUAUUUAAAACUAAAAUAUGUCUAGAUACAUCCAUUUCCGUGACAAGUAAUUCCGGACAGAGGGAGUAUUUA